This 253-nucleotide ribosomal RNA is filed under the name uncultured bacterium. RNAcentral describes it as "partial 16S ribosomal RNA". It matches the Rfam family "Bacterial small subunit ribosomal RNA", at positions 524 to 776 of the family's 1533-position model. The record is from RNAcentral.
UACGUAGGGUGCAAGCGUUGUCCGGAAUUAUUGGGCGUAAAGAGCUUGUAGGCGGUUUGUCGCGUCUGCCGUGAAAUUUCGGGGCUCAACCCCGAACUUGCGGUGGGUACGGGCAGACUAGAGUGUGGUAGGGGAGACUGGAAUUCCUGGUGUAGCGGUGAAAUGCGCAGAUAUCAGGAGGAACACCGAUGGCGAAGGCAGGUCUCUGGGCCACUACUGACGCUGAGAAGCGAAAGCAUGGGGAGCGAACAGG